GUUACCCGGCCCUAGUCUAUAUAACGGUCAGGGGGAGCAACGCAUCUGUUUUGCACAUAAGAGAUCGGAUAGUAAUAUCUGUUGCUUAAACCAACAAAAAAAAAACCACAACCAGCUACAAUGACUAACAUGACAUUCGUGUGUCUUGGAGUGCUCGUGCUGGCCAUUUAUUUACCAACACAGGUAGAUUCUGUGAACAACACAACAACACCACCAAGUGCCAAUCAGACGAACGGCACGAAUGUAACUGCAACGUUGUCUCCAACUGCCACUCUGUCUGGCUCUGGAAACUCAACGACCACCAAAGGCACUGGCAAUGGCCUGCAGUCCCCUCUCAGCUCCAUCCUCGUCCCACUCAUCACAUCUGCCUCCAUACUCCGUCUCUGCUGUUAAAGCCGGUUUAGAAAAGAGACAACCCAAACUUUAAAAUCCAAUAGUGAAGAUGGAAACAAAAUCAUCCAGAGAUCGAAUUAUUUAAAACUCAGCUGUUUUUGUUGUGUCAAUGUGUCUGUUAUGAAAGAAAAAAAAAAACAUAAAUCAAAAGAAACUAGCUACCACCAGAACUUUCUACAGACGGAUCUGGAGAGCCAACAUAUCGAAUACACAUGUCAACACUGCUUUGGAAACCUUUAUCGAGCAAGUUCUUAAUUGUACCCCUUCUAAUAAACAACACCAAUUUGAUGAAGGCCUAUGCCAGUAAACACAGAAGUCAUCAGUGGGCAAACCCAUAUCACUGAACAGAACUGUUUGAAAGCCCAUGAAGUGUGAGGAAACCCUUUUUGGCCACUAUUGAAGCAGCUAGUUGAAUUUGACACGUCCAGCAAUUUUCACCAAGUUGCUCAAAUCAAAAUGUUUUUUGGUGUUAAACUCGUCAAACUGGGACAAUUGAUAGACAAUGCCACCAACUAGUUGCUAGAAAAGUUGCCUGCUAGUUCUCAUUGUAAUUUCUGCUGAGGUUUAUGUAGGUUCAUGCAGAGCUGUUUGUGAGCUUCUAGACAUCCCAUAAAACAUUGAUAUUAAAAAGGUCAGUCAUUUGAAAACAGUGGCCAAAAUGAAACUUUAACUCCUGCUUGAAGGAAACUUUGUCUUUGUUUUUCUCAAUGCUUUGAAAAAUAAAAACAAACUAAAACUCACUCUAAAACCGUUGGAAAGGGUUUUAUAAAACGAAAACCUGAUUUAAUUAAUCAGAAAUGGGAUUUAAAACAAAAACAGUCCUUCAAGUUUUGUGAACAGGGCCCAUAGGUAUAAAAUUGACACCCAAACCCAGCUUUUGAAUUCUUUCAAUUUCUAUUUUAACAAGAGAUUUUGUUUGUUUUCAAUUCUGGAUUUUUAUUUCCAAGAAAAUAUGCAUGUAAAAAUAUUAUAUCAUAUUCACAUUCAAGAUUAAAGUAGAUGGUCAGAAGUAGGGUUUAUGUACCAUAUUACAAUAAUAGCAUGUAUGCAUGUUCAUUUGCUUUUUUUUCAUAGCUAGACAAGAUCUUACAAGAUUACAGGAUAUCUUAAGGACAUUUUUACAUUUCUUUAUUGUACAAGCUACCCAACAAUAGUGCAGACAGCAUUUCAGCUCGUGAGAUUGUUAAAUUGGUGUGGUGAAAGAUUUUUUCCCAUAGUUUAUAUUUUUGGUAUAAUUGCAUCGUUUAAUAAGAACAAUAUGCAUCUGUAAAUUAGUUUGAAUGAUGACAGAGAUCAGGGAGUAACAUUUUACUUCAUUAAAUGUAUAUUAAUAAACUGUCGGAAACAAACAAAAAUGUAUUUCCUAUAUUAUAGUCAAGAAUCAUUUGUUCUGCUUCUUUUUUUGUUAAGUAAACCACACAAUCUAAUUUGUUUGCCCUAUAAUCUCCAGAUUGGAUUUGUACUGUGGAUUUGUUUUUGCUCUGGAAGCAUGUUCUGGUUUAUUUAAAAUACAGCACAUAUAUGUAUAACACAAUGUGGGGUUAUUAAAUAAUUGUUCACAACA
Acipenser ruthenus (sterlet) is the source of this 1957-nucleotide long non-coding RNA. RefSeq lists it as uncharacterized. The transcript has 2 exons. The record is from RefSeq and is a predicted model, not a curated record. NCBI's taxonomy places the organism in Eukaryota, Metazoa, Chordata, Actinopteri, Acipenseriformes, Acipenseridae.